AUGGAAGAGGCAGACAAGGACCGCAAUUCCUGCAAGCGCCUACGAGCGGUAGGCGGCGGUGACUCGGCGGAUGCGUGGCGGACUUUCCGGGUGGCCCGCGCGGCGGCAGGCGGCAAGGACCGGCACAGCAAGGUGGUGACCUCGCGCGGCCUCCGCGACCGCCGCAUCCGGCUCUCGGUGCAGACGGCCAUUCAGUUCUAUGACAUCCAGGACCGCCUGGGCGUCGACCAGCCCAGCAAGGCCAUCGAGUGGCUCAUCCAAGCCGCCGCCACUGCCAUCGAUGGUCUCCCGUCGCUGGACUGCUCCUUCGCCCUCCCUGUCGCCUCCCCAGCAGCAGAAGACGCCGUGGAGGUCAGCACCUCGGAGACCAGCAAGGGCUCCGUGCUCUCGCUCGCCAACGGCCCUGCCGACAAUGACAAUGCCGCUCACCAAGCCAAUGCAUACAACGGGGGCAGUGCCAAUGGCACGUUUGCCGAGCUCCUGCACUGCUCCAACGCAGCCGACAAGCCAAUGCAGCAUCAGCAGCAGCAGCCGACGCUUGCCUACUACGCCGCCCCCGGUUCACACAUCGCACCCAUGUCCUUCGAGAUGAUUCCCCAGCUCACCUUCUCCCAGGACCAGCAACACCGCCACCACCACCACCACCACCACCACCAUGCAUCUGUCGUCUUCGACAGGAGCACACUUCAGUCCAACACCGUCUCGACGCCGCAGUGGCCGCCGUCCCAGCACCCAUUCCUGAUGCAGAGGUUCUCUGCUGCUCCAGCCGAGCCUUCGCCUAUGUUUCCCUUCUUUCUUGGAGGCAACAGCGCUGCUGCUGCUGCUCCUGCGGCGGCCAAUGCGCCGGAGCGGAGGCUGCAGCUCUGGGACUUCAAGGAGGAAAGGAAGACAUAA
This 894-nucleotide ribosomal RNA is filed under the name Triticum aestivum (bread wheat). RNAcentral's name for it is "partial small subunit ribosomal RNA". The record is from RNAcentral. Lineage: Eukaryota; Viridiplantae; Streptophyta; Magnoliopsida; Poales; Poaceae.